CUCCUAUAGCUAGAACUGCCGGGGCUGAAAAAACCUAAGGCGAAAGUGUUAUUUUGGGAGAUUAGAAAGUUGCCCCCUGUGAUGGUUUGGUUUAUGGUUAUGGUGUCUAUGGACAUAGAAAAUAUGAAACGCAGGAUUAGAAGCAAGAGAUAGAGAAGCAGCUCCUCAGCAGCCAUGAUAAUUUUUUUUUUUUUUUUAUAUGGAAUCAGCAGCUAUGAUAAUUGACACCAAGCUUUUGGGGGGUAUUUGUCAUGGCCUCUCAUCGUCUCA
This 270-nucleotide unclassified non-coding RNA is filed under the name Hevea brasiliensis (rubber tree). Lineage: Eukaryota; Viridiplantae; Streptophyta; Magnoliopsida; Malpighiales; Euphorbiaceae. The record is from RNAcentral.